AAAGUUCCCUUCGGGGAGCAAGUAGAGUGGCGCACGGGUGAGUAACACGUAGGUAAUCUACCUUUGGAUGGGGAAUAACAACCGGAAACGGUUGCUAAUACCGCAUAAUGCAGCGGCACCUAAUGGUGACAGUUGUUAAAGCGGGGGAUCGCAAGACCUCGCGUCUAAAGAGGAGCCUGCGGCAGAUUAGCUAGUUGGUAAGGUAACGGCUUACCAAGGCGAUGAUCUGUAGCCGGCCUGAGAGGGCGGUCGGCCACACUGACACUGACAUACGGGUCAGACUCCUACGGGAGGCAGCAGUCGGGAAUUUUGGGCAAUGGGCGAAAGCCUGGCCCAGCAACGCCGCGUGAAGGAUGAAAUCCCUCGGGAUGUAAACUUCGCAAGAACGGGAAGAAUAAGUAAGGGUUAAUAUCCCUUGCGAUGACCGUACUGUUUGUAAGCUCCGGCUAACUCCGUGCCAGCAGCCGCGGUAAUACGGGGGGAGCAAGCGUUGUUCGGAUUUACUGGGCGUAAAGGGCGCGUAGGCGGCCUCUGCAAGUCGACUGUGAAAUCUCCGGGCUUAACCCGGAAAGGUCAGCCGAUACUGCAGGGCUAGAGUGCAAAAGGGGCAACUGGAAUUCUCGGUGUAGCGGUGAAAUGCGUAAAUUUCGAGAGGAACACCUGCGGCGAAGGCGGGUUGCUGGGCUGACACUGACGCUGAGGCGCGAAAGCUAGGGGAGCAACGGGAUUAGAUACCCCGGUAGUCCUAGCCUUAAACGAUGAAUGCUUGGUGUC
RNAcentral lists this ribosomal RNA (774 nucleotides) under uncultured Actinomycetes bacterium. RNAcentral describes it as "bacterial SSU rRNA". It matches the Rfam family "Bacterial small subunit ribosomal RNA", at positions 70 to 824 of the family's 1533-position model. The record is from RNAcentral. Lineage: Bacteria; Bacillati; Actinomycetota; Actinomycetes.